CCCUCCAGGGUUUGGAUUUAGAAGUGUCACUGUGACAGCUAGGGCUGUGGCUCCGUGACAGAGGCUUGCCUAGCACGUGAGAGGACCGGGUUUGAUUCUCAGCACCACUUGAAAAACUGAAUAAAGACAUUGUGUGCAUCUACAACUGAAAAUAUCAAAAAGAAAAGAGAGAUCCCUGGCCAGGGAUGAAGGCCAUUUUGAAGGCUCUGGGGUGGAGACCCCAGGCUCUUGCCACCCGGCCUGUCCCGCUCCCCUGGAGGCCUGCAGCCCCUGGGAUCUGCUCUCAGGGGCUGGCAAUCCCACCCCUGGUACAGGAAAGAGAAAGGGAUGACAAUCAGAGCACUGAGGGUGCAGGGUGACCUGUGCACAGUGGGGACAAGCACGCGGCCUCGAGCCCCCGAAGCACUCUCCAGGAAGAAAGCCCCAAGCCAAGACCUGAGGAGGGAGCAGGGAUUGGCCCUCUGUGUCAACUCACAUGCAGAAGCCGGAGGUCAAAGAGCAGGGCGUUUGGGAAAUGAAAACACCAGGUCACAGGAGCAGAGGUGAGAGGGCGGCGAGCCAUGGGCCUAGGUGACCCUUGGGUAGAGAGUGACACCCAGCUGGUGAGCCAGUGGCAGGACACUCAUGCUGAGCAAGUGCCUCUGUUCUCACCUUCUAGUCGUUGAUGUUGCCAAUCAGGAGCUGAGACCAGGCCGGGCCUGGGGAUGCAGACCUGCCAUCCCAGUGGCCCAGGAGGCUGAGGCAGGAGGACCACAAGUUCAAGGCCAGCCUCUGCAACUUAGUGAGGCCCUAAGCAACCUAGGGUCUCUAAAAAAAUUAAAAGGGUUGGGGAUGUGGCUCGGUGGUAGAGCACCUCUGGGUUCAGCCCCUAGCAACAACCACAAAGCACAGAGCAGAUGACAACCCAACACAGGGGUGACAGUCAGCUCAGGACAUGUUUAUGGGCCCUGCUGUCUGCCAGGCCUGUGCGUGAGGAGGUCUGUAGGCUCAGCUCUUGCCCAGAAAAUGCAUAAGGGACAGUGACAUUGCAGGACCACCGAGGACUGUGUUCUGACAGAUAAAUGACAAUUAUCCUAAUUGAGGAAUAAAUGAAGUGGAUUUGUGUGGGAACUCAUCUGCUGGCCCAGCUGCUCUCUCAGAUAUAUGCAUGCCACAUGUAUACACGUACGCCAAACCAGAAACACGUCUACACAUGAAUACACACAACACGCUACAACACAGGACCUGGGGCAGGGGUAUAGUCCCUGUCUUUGGUCAACAGAAAAAAGAAACCUCUGCAGACUCUGUGACUCUUUCUAGUGUCCCUACCCAACGGUCUGAUCCCCGUACCUCUGCUGGGCACAAUGGCAGCUGUGAGCCAUGCUGGGUCACCAGAUGUGGUUAUAGGGUCCUCGAUGUGUGACCACUCUCAAGUAAGACACACCCUAUGUAUAAAAGCCACAAUUUCAAAGACUUAGUAACAACAACAACAUCAAA
This 1476-nucleotide long non-coding RNA is filed under the name Marmota monax (woodchuck). The record is from RNAcentral. Lineage: Eukaryota; Metazoa; Chordata; Mammalia; Rodentia; Sciuridae.